This 491-nucleotide ribosomal RNA is filed under the name uncultured bacterium. Its description in RNAcentral is "bacterial SSU rRNA". It matches the Rfam family "Bacterial small subunit ribosomal RNA", at positions 903 to 1397 of the family's 1533-position model. The record is from RNAcentral.
AAAGGAAUAGACGGGAGCCCGCACAAGCAGUGGAGUAUGUGGAUUAAUUCGACGCAACGCGAAGAACCUUACCAGGGUUUGACAUCCGCGUAAGGCGAGGUAAAGCUUGCCGUGCCCCUUCGGGGGAAACGCGAGACAGGUGGUGCAUGGUUGUCGUCAGCUCGUGUCGUGAGAUGUUGGGUUAAGUCCCGCAACGAGCGCAACCCUUACGGUUAGUUGCUACGGAAGAGCACUCUAACAGGACUGCCGUUGACAAAACGGAGGAAGGUGGGGACGACGUCAAAUCAUCAUGCCCUUUACGCUCUGGGCUUCACACGUACUACAAUGGCGCAAACAAAGGGGAGCAAGGCGGCGACGCGGAGCAAAUCCCAAAAAGGCGCCCCAGUUCAGAUUGCAGGCUGCAACUCGCCUGCAUGAAGCAGGAAUUGCUAGUAAUCGUAAAUCAGCAUGUUACGGUGAAUACGUUCCCGGGCUUUGUACACACCGCCCGU